ACCUACGGGAGGCAGCAGUGGGGAAUCUUAGACAAUGGGCGCAAGCCUGAUCUAGCCAUGCCGCGUGAGCGAUGAAGGCCUUAGGGUUGUAAAGCUCUUUCGUGGGGGAAGAUAAUGACUGUACCCCAAGAAGAAGCCCCGGCUAACUCCGUGCCAGCAGCCGCGGUAAUACGGAGGGGGCUAGCGUUGUUCGGAAUUACUGGGCGUAAAGCGCACGUAGGCGGACUGGAAAGUCAGAGGUGAAAUCCCAGGGCUCAACCUUGGAACUGCCUUUGAAACUCCCAGUCUUGAGGUCGAGAGAGGUGAGUGGAAUUCCGAGUGUAGAGGUGAAAUUCGUAGAUAUUCGGAGGAACACCAGUGGCGAAGGCGGCUCACUGGCUCGAUACUGACGCUGAGGUGCGAAAGCGUGGGGAGCAAACAGGAUUAGAUACCCCGGU
This 437-nucleotide ribosomal RNA is filed under the name uncultured bacterium. RNAcentral describes it as "bacterial SSU rRNA". It matches the Rfam family "Bacterial small subunit ribosomal RNA", at positions 337 to 791 of the family's 1533-position model. The record is from RNAcentral.